This 196-nucleotide small nuclear RNA is filed under the name Suricata suricatta (meerkat). RNAcentral's name for it is "U4 spliceosomal RNA (ENSSSUG00005003605.1)". The stretch from base 1 to 67 matches the Rfam family "U4 spliceosomal RNA". The record is from RNAcentral. Lineage: Eukaryota; Metazoa; Chordata; Mammalia; Carnivora; Herpestidae.
AGCUUUGCGCCGUGGCGGCCUCAUAGCCAAUGAGGUUUAUCUGAGGCGUGAUUAUUGCUAAUGGAAUUUGCAGAGCCAUUUCAAAUCGACCCAUCAUCUCAGAAGUGGUUCCAGAAUGUUCCCCUUCACCCGCUGGCUGCCACCAUGGUCCGGAGCCUCCCUGACUCUCAUCUGGGCUUUUGAAACAAAUGCAUUU